UACGGAGGGUGCGAGCGUUGUUCGGAAUUACUGGGCGUAAAGCGCACGCAGGCGGCUGAGUCAGUCGAUUGUGAAAGCCCUGGGCUUAACCUGGGAAUUGCAGUCGAUACUACUCAGCUAGAGUAUGGGAGAGGGCAGUGGAAUUCCCGGUGUAGCGGUGAAAUGCGUAGAUAUCGGGAGGAACAUCAGUGGCGAAGGCGGCUGCCUGGCCCAAUACUGACGCUCAGGUGCGACAGCGUGGGGAGCAAACAGG
This 253-nucleotide ribosomal RNA is filed under the name uncultured bacterium. RNAcentral describes it as "partial 16S ribosomal RNA". It matches the Rfam family "Bacterial small subunit ribosomal RNA", at positions 524 to 776 of the family's 1533-position model. The record is from RNAcentral.